RNAcentral lists this ribosomal RNA (399 nucleotides) under Artemia franciscana. RNAcentral's name for it is "partial 16S ribosomal RNA". It matches the Rfam family "Archaeal large subunit ribosomal RNA", at positions 2005 to 2616 of the family's 2987-position model. The record is from RNAcentral. Lineage: Eukaryota; Metazoa; Arthropoda; Branchiopoda; Anostraca; Artemiidae.
GGGCCGUGGUAUACUGACCAUGCGAAGGUAGCAUAAUCAUUAGCCUUUUGAUUUGAGGCUGGAAUGAAUGGUUUGACGAGAGAUGGUCUGUCUCUUCGAUUAAAUUGAAGUUAAUCUUUAAGUGAAAAAGCUUAAAUGUACUUGGAGGGCGAUAAGACCCUAUAGAUCUUUACAUUUAAUUCUUUUGUCUUGCGGUAAGUAAUUAGACAGAAUAAAAUAAUGUUUGGUUGGGGCGACGGUGAGAACAGAAUAAACACUCACAACAUAAAUACAUCAAUAAAUGACCAUUGAUCCUUAGAUGAAUAAAGACCAAGUUACCUUAGGGAUAACCAGCGUAAUUCUUUUUGAGAGUUCAAAUCGACAAAAGAGUUUGCGACCUCGAUGUUGGUUCAGGGACCC